This 2033-nucleotide small RNA is filed under the name Malus domestica (apple). Its description in RNAcentral is "sRNA MD03G0170300". The record is from RNAcentral. Lineage: Eukaryota; Viridiplantae; Streptophyta; Magnoliopsida; Rosales; Rosaceae.
UUUUCAUUUGCUUCCGGUAGUCCUCCAUUUGCUACGAACUCCAGUUCUCUCUCUCAAUUUUGCACGAACCAGAACAUAGGUUGUUUAUCCCUUUCUGAUUCCAAAAAACCCUAAUCCCUUUUUCUGUAAAUUGAAUUAGUACUAGCUGAACAGAGUUUCUCUCUGCAACUCCUCUCCCACGAGCUUGAACCUCAACUAUGGAGGGAAGCUCGCUUCUCUUCUUCUCCCCAUUUAAAUCCCCCCCUCUUUCUCCUCUUCUUCUUCUUCUUCCUUGCUCUUCGGAAAAUCCCGCCUUCUGGGUUUAAUCCCCAUUUCUCUCAUCCCAAAUGUGUGCAUGUCGGAUCUCCGUCCUAAAUCCUGACGCAAUAACACUUCAAAGUGGUGAUCGGCCUGCUUGGGUUAGGAAAGACCACUUAUUGCAAUGGCAUGUCUGAGUUCCUCCAGCUCAUCGAAUGAAGGUCGCUGCGGUAAAUUUGGAUCAUUCCACUGAUGCAUUGCCGUAUCCAAUGUCGUAUGUUGAGGUUCAAAGCCGAUUUGGGGAUUUUGAAAUGGUGGACACCGGGCCCAGUUACACCACUUCAGGAUGAUAUCAUAGUGGAUCCAAUGGAGUCUCCAGAGAUUGUUGAUGAUCCAUUCCAAACUAUGUGAGUUUUCAAGUUGAAAAGUGGGAGUAUAGCUCAGAGAAAAACCCUUGAUUGAAUAAAUUACUGAAGAGCCAAUUUAACAUCAGCAGAUAUGAGGGAAUCUGAUUUCAGUGGUUCAACUUUCAAUGGUGCAUACAUGGAGAAAGUUGUCACAUAUAAGGCAAACUUUGAGGGAAGAGCAUGGUGGCAUGUGCUUUGGGUGGGAGUUUGUACUACAGGGGAAGCUGUCGUACAUUCUUGAAGUAGAACAUUGUGCAGAGAACGUUCGGAGGAUUGGAACCAUGGGUUAAGAAAAUGGGUCCAAAUUCAGAGCUGCGUUCUUCUUCCCUCAAAAUAAGAAGAAAACACUUCCUCAGCACCAGAUUUUGGCACCUCAGCGGAGCCACCGCGACCACUAGGGGCCACUGCUGCGUUAAAUUAUGGGCUUCAAUCGUUUUCUAAAACCUUCUGUAUUCAUGGUAAGUUAUUCUAGGUUUUAUUCCAUAUUCAGAUCAUCCCCAAUUUCGAAAGUUUAGGGAAUUGAUUCGUUUCCGUGUUGCAUGUUUAACAUUCUUCUGUGUGAUGCUGAGUUGAGGCUAUACGAACUGGAAUCGUUGAGGGUAGGCUUGAAUUUGGCCAAAUUUGGAACCAGAAAGACCUUGGAAUCACACAGUAAAUCAAUAAUGCAAAUGGACAGAUCCCAUCAGAGCACUCUGUUACCCCUCUGUUACAUGAUUUUGUACAUCCGUUAUAUGCUAUCUCCCGAAUGCUUAUCCGCCUACUGCCUAUUACUAUGGAGCACUGCAGGGCAUGCGGCUUCUGGAACCGGCUUACAAUGUUUGAUUAAUUUCUAUGGGCGAUAUCCUCAUAUAAACAAGUGGAAGGUUUACAGGACAUUAACCAAUCAGUUGAGAUAUUAGUUCGUUUACUUUCUGCUGUCCCUGGUUGGAGUGAGAAAAUGUUUAGGUUCAGCAACAAGUUGCUGAAAUUAUCACUUAUAUAGCCUCCACUGCAAAACAGUAGUACUUUUGGUAUAUGUAAACGGCUCGCAGAUAUCAGAUCCAGACAAAUGUGAUGAAGUGCCUUACGGCUUUUUCCAAAUCCUUAGGUCCACGAUUUGUUUUUGAAAGUGGAAGUUCUGGUGUGAUAUUUUUAAUUCUCAUCAUCUUCAGUGCAAAAGUUUGUGUGCAAGUUUUUUGUUAUAGUUGUAUUUUUCUGUAUGCAUUAUGUUUAUCCUGAGCCAAAGGUUGCUAAUCUUUUAUUGAUGAGUGUGUGCUGCUUGGUCUCCAAUGAUUGUUUAUAUUUACCAAGGGUAUAAUGAGAGGAAAAAUUCAUUCCAAUAACUUGGAAUGAACGUCUACUAAAUUGUAGGGAAUCCAAUUAAGAUGCUUAAGUCUUUGCGUGGAACUC